Molecule: ribosomal RNA, 440 nt
Filed under: uncultured bacterium
Lineage: Bacteria
Description: partial 16S ribosomal RNA
Rfam family: Bacterial small subunit ribosomal RNA
Source: RNAcentral
CCUACGGGUGGCAGCAGUGGGGAAUAUUGCACAAUGGGGGAAACCCUGAUGCAGCGACGCCGCGUGAGUGAAGAAGUAUUUCGGUAUGUAAAGCUCUAUUAUCAGGGAAGAACAUGACGGUACCUGAUUAAGAAGCCCCUGCUAACUACGUGCCAGCAGCCGCGGUAAUACGGAGGGGGCAAGUGUUCUCCGGAUGUACUGUGUGGAAAGGGAUCGUAGACGGCUGGACAAGGCUGGCGGGAAAGGCCUGGGCUUAAACCCGGAGCGGCUUUGGAAACUGGGCAGCCAGAGUGCAGGAGAGGGAAGUGGAAUUCCGAGUGGAGAGGGGAAAUGCGCAGAGAUAAGGAGGAACACCAGUGGCGAAGGCGGCUUACUGGACUGUAACUGACGUUGAGGCUCGAAAGCGUGGGGAGCAAACAGGAUUAGAUACCCGUGUAGUC